GGUAACUGUAGUAAUUCUAGAGCUAAUACAUGCCUCGAAGUCUUGACCUCACGGAAUGGACGCACUUAUUAGAUCAAAAUCAACCGGGUUUCGGCCUGAGAUUUUGAUGACUCUGGAUAAUCUUUUCUACAGAUCGUACGGCCUUGUGUCGACGACGGAUCUUUGAAAUGUCUGCCCUAUCAACUGUAGAUGGUAGGAUAUUUGCCUACCAUGGUGAUAACGGGUAACGGGGAAUCAGGGUUCGAUUCCGGAGAGGGAGCCUGAGAAAUAGCUACCACAUCCAAGGAAGGCAGCAGGCGCGCAAAUUACCCACUCCCGGCUCGGGGAGGUAGUGACAAAAAAUAACGAUACGGGACUCUUUCGAGGCCCCGUAAUCGGAAUGAGAACACUUUAAAUCCUUUAUCGAGGAUCAAUUGGAGGGCAAGUCUGGUGCCAGCAGCCGCGGUAAUUCCAGCUCCAAUAGCGUAUAUUAAAGUUGUUGCAGUUAAAAAGCUCGUAGUUGGAUCUUAGGAACCGAUCGAAGGGUCCGCCUUUGUGGUGUGACUUUUUGGUCAUCCUAAAUAGCCGUGGACACCAUUAGUGUUCUUAAUUGAGCGCUUUUGGGGCCCGGCGAUGUUACUUUGAAAAAAUUAGAGUGCUCAAAGCAGGCUUUUGCCUGUAUAAUGUUGCAUGGAAUAAUGGAAUAGGACUUCGGUUCUAUUUUGUUGGUUUUCGGAUCCGAAGUAAUGAUUAACAGAGACGGCCGGGGGCAUUUGUAUAGCGGCGCUAGAGGUGAAAUUCUUGGACCGUCGCUAGACAACCUACUGCGAAAGCAUUUGCCAAGAAUGUUUUCACUAAUCAAGAACGAAAGUCAGAGGUUCGAAGACGAUCAGAUACCGUCCUAGUUCUGACCAUAAAUGAUGCCAACUAACGAUCCAAAGGGUUGCUUGAUCGACCCCGUGGGCAGCUCCGGAGAAAUCAAAGUUUUUGGGCUCCGGGGGUAGUAUGGUUGCAAGACUGAAACUUAAAGGAAUUGACGGAAGGGCACCACCAGGAGUGGAGCCUGCGGCUUAAUUUGACUCAACACGGGAAAACUCACUCGGCCCGGACAUUAUAAGGAUUGACAGAUUUAUAGCUCUUACAUAAUUUUAUGGUUGGUGGUGCAUGGCCGUUCUUAGUUGGUGGAUUGGUUUGUCUGGUUGAUUCCGAUAACGAGCGAGAUUGUUACUUACUAAAUAGACACUCGGAGUCACCGACAUAUCCUGAUCUUGUAGCUUCUUAGAAGAAUCUAUGUUUUUGAGACAUAUGAUAGAGAGCAAUAACAGGUCUGUGAUGCCCUUAGAUGUUCGAGGCCGCACGCGCGCUACACUGACGGUACCAGAGAGUAUGCUCCUGACUCGUGAGGGUUGGGUAACCUACUUAAUGGCCGUCGUGUUAGGGAUCGGAGCUUGCAAUUAUUCUCCGUGAACGAGGAAUUCCCAGUAAGCGCAAGUCAUAAGCUUGCGUUGAUUACGUCCCUGCCCUUUGUACACACCGCCCGUCGCUACUACCGAUUGAGUGGUUUAGUGAGGUCAUCGGAUUGGUGAUAGCGGGAUGGUC
Molecule: ribosomal RNA, 1578 nt
Filed under: Kata leroda
Lineage: Eukaryota; Metazoa; Platyhelminthes; Proseriata; Otoplanidae
Description: SSU rRNA
Rfam family: Eukaryotic small subunit ribosomal RNA
Source: RNAcentral